This is a long non-coding RNA of Etheostoma cragini (Arkansas darter), 129 nucleotides long. RefSeq lists it as uncharacterized. The transcript has 3 exons. Lineage: Eukaryota; Metazoa; Chordata; Actinopteri; Perciformes; Percidae. The record is from RefSeq and is a predicted model, not a curated record.
GUGAACUGUUUAUUAACUCUAUAUGGCACACUGACUGUCCUUGGAUGUUAAACAGGCUCCUUAGUCUUUGGCAGUAAUGUUGUAAAUCCCACCAAGCAUGCAAGGGUAAAACCGAGCAGCAUAGCUGCG